UCUCGCCGCACCGCGGGCUGCCCGGACCUCCCUGGCGGAGCACCUUCCGGCGGACCCAGCGCGGAGCUCUGAGCUCGGCUGCGGUCCGGCGGCAACCCAGGUGUGGCGGCCUCAGGACGCGGUGCGAGCACAGGAGCCGCACCCCGCGGGACCCCGGCCUCACCCCCGGAGCUCCAGGCCGCCCCGCCUCGCCCCCGGCUCCGAAGGGCGUAGCUGCGUCGGGAGGAGCCUCAGCCUGGCUCGGGCGCUCAGGUGGCCCGGGUCCGCCCAAUCCUGCCAGGCAGACAUCUUAAUCCCGCUAAGAAGUAAGGGGUUAAAGCUCAGAGAGGUUGAGUGACCUGACCAAGGUUUCCACUGGAAGGCAACCGGCACUGGGGCUUCAGUUCCUGGCCUGCACCAGCUGACAUCCUUAGUGUCCACAUUUGUGACCAUCGGGCAGCACUGGAGCGGCCUCGAGGAGGGUCGGCUCCUACACCUGCGCUCCGUUGGCCGCGGCUGAGCCCCUGGUCUUACCCCUCAGUGUGGAGACGAUGCCAAAGCUGCAGGGCUUCGAGUUCUGGAGCUGUACCCUGGGGGGGGCCCGCCACGUGGUGGCCCCCAUGGUGGACCAAAGCGAGCUGGCCUGGAGGCUGCUGAGCCGCCGCCACGGGGCCCAGCUGUGCUACACACCCAUGCUGCACGCCCAGGUCUUCAUUCGAGAUGCCAACUACCGCAAGGAGAACCUGUACUGCGACGUGUGCCCCGAGGACCGGCCUCUCAUUGUGCAGUUCUGUGCCAAUGACCCGGAGGUGUUUGUCCAGGCAGCUCUCCUGGCUCAGGACUACUGCGAUGCCAUCGACCUGAAUUUGGGCUGCCCGCAGAUGAUAGCCAAGCGAGGUCACUAUGGCGCCUUCCUGCAGGAGGAGUGGGACCUCCUCCAAAGGAUGAUUCUGCUAGCCCACGAAAAACUUUCUGUCCCUGUCACAUGCAAGAUCCGUGUCUUCCCAGAGAUUGACAAGACCGUAAGGUACGCCCAGAUGCUGGAAAAGGCUGGCUGCCAGUUGCUGACUGUCCACGGGCGCACCAAGGAGCAGAAGGGGCCCUUGUCGGGCACCGCGUCCUGGGAGCACAUCAAGGCUGUGCGGAAGGCAGUGGCCAUCCCCGUGUUUGCCAAUGGGAACAUCCAGUGCCUGCGGGACGUGGAACGCUGCAUCCAGGACACGGGGGUGCAAGGGGUCAUGAGUGCAGAGGGAAACCUGCACAACCCUGCCCUGUUCGAGGGCCGCAGUCCUGCCGUGUGGGAGCUGGCCGAGGAGUACCUGGACAUCGUGCGGCAGCACCCCUGCCCUCUGUCCUACGUCCGGGCCCACCUCUUUAAGCUGUGGCACCACACGCUGCAGGUGCAUCAGCAGCUUCGAGAGGAGCUCGCCAAAGUGAAGACCCUGGAGGGCAUUGCCGCAGUGAGCCAGGAGCUGAAGCUGCGGUGUCAGGAGGAUAUAUCCAGGCAGAAGGAGGGAGAGAAGCCUUCAGGCGGCUUGCCUUUCUUCCACUGGAUCUGCCAGCCCUACUUCCGGCCAGGGCCCAGGGACGGGAGCAGGGAGAGCGGGGGUGCCCGUAGCAAGCGGGCCCUGGAGGAGGAGGAGGGCAGUACAGACGUCUUGUCCAAGAACAAGCAGAAGAAGAAACUGAGGAACCCCCAUAAGACCUUCGACCCCUCGCUGAAGCGUAAGAUGCUCCCACCACUGGAGCCCUGGGAGGUGGCCAGCCCCUGCCCUGGGUCCCCCAGGGUCAGGUGGCUCUGCUGCUUCCUAAGCCAUGGGGAGUCCACCAGGGAGGGCCCUGUGACCCUUCCAUGUGCCCCCAAGGAGACUGGCGGGUCCCACGAGGCCACAGCCAGUCAGCCUCCCUGCCUGCUGCGGUCCCUGAGCUGCUGCCCUGAGGCAGCUGGAGAGGAAGGGAGUGGGGCCUGGGGCGGCUUUCCCAAGAAGGACCUUCAAGUGGGAGGUGGUGGGCAUGGAGCCCGUGCACCUCGGGCAGAUGGGAUGAGGUUUCCCGGCGCAAUCGUGAGUACUACGUCCUCUGCCCUCUGCAAGCCACCUGGCCUGGCCAGCCGCAGGGAGCAGGGAUACCUGCCAGGGGCCACAUGUAGGAGAUGGCUGUGGUGGGUGGGCUCACCUAGUUCAACCAGCACCUCCUUUUGCUCUUUUCCCAGCAAAAUAUGCAAAGUGUGAUCAGUGUGGAAACCCAAAGGUGAGUCUGUCCUUCUAGCCACACCGCCCAGGGUAGAGCUCAGCCCCGGGAGGGGUGGGGACCUGCGCAAGAGGUCCUCUCCCUGUCUGUUUUGGGGGCAGCCUGGGCACAGCCCAAGGUGGGUGGCUUCUGUCGUGUAAGGGGCUCUGCCUAUCUUCAGGAGAGCCCCACCUGUGCUCGGGGCCCACUCACUCAGGCUGCAGCCCGGCCAGGGGAGGAGCAUUAGCCCCAGGCUCACACACUUUCCUAUGUCCAGGGCAACAGAUGUGUGUUUAACCUGUGCCGGGGCUGCUGCAAGAAGCGAGCUUUCAAAGAGACGGCUGACUGUCCAGGUCAUGGACUGCUUUUUAAAACCAAACUGGAGAAGUCUCUGGCCUGGAAGGGGGCCCAGCCGCGGCUGCAGGAA
Globicephala melas (long-finned pilot whale) is the source of this 2635-nucleotide RNA transcript. It is a transcript of the gene named dihydrouridine synthase 1 like, with no coding region annotated. NCBI's taxonomy places the organism in Eukaryota, Metazoa, Chordata, Mammalia, Artiodactyla, Delphinidae. The record is from RefSeq and is a predicted model, not a curated record.